RNAcentral lists this ribosomal RNA (489 nucleotides) under Steleops elegans. RNAcentral describes it as "partial 16S ribosomal RNA". Lineage: Eukaryota; Metazoa; Arthropoda; Insecta; Psocodea; Psocidae. The record is from RNAcentral.
GUCUUUUUAAUAAAAUUUAAAGUCCAAUCUGCUCACUGAAUUUUAAAGAGCCGCAGUAUUUUGACUGUGCAAAGGUAGCAUAAUCAAUAGUUUUUUAAUUGGAAACUUGUAUGAAGGAUUAGACGAGAAAUUUAUUUUCUUUGUUUUAGUAAAUUAAAUUUUAAUUUUAAGUGAAAAUGCUUAAAUUUAGUUAAAAGACGAGAAGACCCUAUAGAUUUUUAUUAUUGUAUAAAAUUUUAUAAUUUAAUUUAUGAAAAUAAUUUAAUUGGGGCGAUUUUGUAAAAUAACAAACUUAAUAUUAUUAUAACAUAAGUAAUUGGAUUUUUUGAUCUAAAUUUUUUAAAAGAAAGAUUAAAUUACCUUAGGGAUAACAGCGUAAUUUUAUUUAAGAGUUCAUAUCUAUAAUAAAGAUUGCGACCUCGAUGUUGAAUUAAGAUUAUAUAUUGGAGUAGAAAUUAAUAUAAUUAGUCUGUUCGACUAUUAAAUUCU